RNAcentral lists this ribosomal RNA (398 nucleotides) under uncultured bacterium. Its description in RNAcentral is "bacterial SSU rRNA". It matches the Rfam family "Bacterial small subunit ribosomal RNA", at positions 28 to 424 of the family's 1533-position model. The record is from RNAcentral.
GAUGAACGCUAGCGGCAGGCUUAACACAUGCAAGUCGAGGGGUAGAAGGAGCUUGCUCCUUUGAGACCGGCGCACGGGUGCGUAACGCGUAUGCAAUCUACCUUUUGCAGAGGGAUAGCCCAGAGAAAUUUGGAUUAAUACCUCAUAGUAUGUGAGGAUGGCAUCAUUUUCACAUUAAAGUCACAACGGCAAAAGAUGAGCAUGCGUCCCAUUAGCUAGUUGGUAAGGUAACGGCUUACCAAGGCUACGAUGGUAGGGGUCCUGAGAGGGAGAUCCCCCACACUGGUACUGAGACACGGACCAGACUCCUACGGGAGGCAGCAGUGAGGAAUAUUGGACAAUAGGGCGCAAGCCUGAUCCCAGCCAAUGCCGCGUGCAGGAUGACGGUCCUAUGGAUU